CGGAAGAUAGUUUAUUUAGAAUACUAACUUUGGGGGUUAGUGGUUAGAGGGUACCUCUAUCUUUCGA
This 67-nucleotide transfer RNA is filed under the name Pectinatella magnifica. Its description in RNAcentral is "tRNA-Pro". Lineage: Eukaryota; Metazoa; Bryozoa; Phylactolaemata; Pectinatellidae. The record is from RNAcentral.